This 642-nucleotide long non-coding RNA is filed under the name Zonotrichia albicollis (white-throated sparrow). RNAcentral describes it as "lncRNA (ENSZALG00000017832.1)". The record is from RNAcentral. Lineage: Eukaryota; Metazoa; Chordata; Aves; Passeriformes; Passerellidae.
AAGAUGGACAGAAGGAGUGUGCUUUUUUUUGCUUAAAUAUGGCUGGUGAAUAUCCCUGAAAACACAGCAACCCACAUCCUGGUUGACCACUGCUGUUCACCUCAUCAAAAAGAGUGACUUCAGAAAGGUAGGAACCUUCAGUUUGCUGUGAGGAUGCUGCUCCUCUGCCUCAUGUUUGCAGGUGCUGGAGAACAAAGCCAGUCCUAGCAUAAACAGGGACUUCUGACACUCCCAGCUGAAGUACAAGAAAAGGACUUCACACAACUGAAGUACAAGAAAAGACUUUCUGCUACAUUUUAGAAACCAAAGUGAAGUGGUGGACAUAGGAUGCUUGGAUACCUGUCUAAUACAGCAUCAAGACACAGCUGAAGUUUACACCCAGCCCUGUUUAACUAACUUUAUGUUUCUCAUUACCUGAAUCAACAAAUAGCUUUAAGAUGGCUGCAUGGAUACUACUCUCAUGAAUUGUUUUCUAUAAUUCAGAACCUGGAAUGCUACCUUCAGAUUAUGGAAGCUGGCAAAAUUCAUAACCUGGCAAAAGGGAAAAUAUUCACAUAAUUCCCUCGGCAAGAAACCAAAUCAAACUAUUCUUUUUAAUUGCAGGUGAGUAAUAGCACUCUUACAUUUCAUGCAAAUAACGUC